GGUCGCGUGGCCUAAUGGUUAAGGCGCUGGUUUUCGGAACAAGGAGAUUGAGCGUUCGAAUCGCUCCGUGAUCG
This 74-nucleotide transfer RNA is filed under the name Endocarpon pusillum Z07020. RNAcentral's name for it is "tRNA-Arg (TCG) (tRNA-Arg-TCG-1-1)". It matches the Rfam family "tRNA". From Rfam's summary of the family: Transfer RNA (tRNA) molecules are approximately 80 nucleotides in length. Their secondary structure includes four short double-helical elements and three loops (D, anti-codon, and T loops). The record is from RNAcentral. Lineage: Eukaryota; Fungi; Ascomycota; Eurotiomycetes; Verrucariales; Verrucariaceae.